Sander lucioperca (pikeperch) is the source of this 1542-nucleotide long non-coding RNA. RefSeq lists it as uncharacterized. NCBI's taxonomy places the organism in Eukaryota, Metazoa, Chordata, Actinopteri, Perciformes, Percidae. The transcript has 4 exons. The record is from RefSeq and is a predicted model, not a curated record.
GCUAACAAAUACAGUGUGGGUAAACUCUUAAUUUGAAAAACAAUGAAUGCAUAUCCUGCCAAUCAGAUUUAGCACCACCCACAGGGGAAAAUCAGAAUAUCAAGUGUUUUUCUGAUUUCCGUGCAAGAACGGGAAAACCAAAAAUCAAGUCAUAAUUUCGUUUUUUCGUUUUUCUAAAAAAAACCGGAAAAACGGAAAAAGGAGUUGUUUUCAUAUGUGAAAACAAAAACAAAUGAUCGGAUGAUACACGGGUCACGGACCUAUUGUCUUCUUCGUGUGUUGCACUUGGAAGUUUGCCGCAAUUUGGAAAACAGUUAAAAGAAGCCUGGAAAACCUCAAUCAUGCAGUGAUUGUAAGUUAAUGACUCAGUAUUUCUUGAGUAAUUUCGUAUUGACACCAUGGCUGCACUGGAACCAUAUGCUGAUUUAAUUAAAGACUUAUUUGAAACUGGCAAGACACGUAGAGAUUUCCAUAACGCUGCAGCAGAUGGGUAUCCAGCGAUGUUCUGAAAUGAGUGUGAGAAGAUUCUGUGUUCAGCACAACCUUAAGCGAAAAAGACAUGUAUCAGACACAGAACUGGAGAGGGCUGUUGUUGGAUCAAUAUAUGAAAUGGGCCCAUCUUAUGGCCGCAAGUUCAUGACUGGCUAUCUGUCUUCAAUGGGGGUGCAUGCAGGAGAAUGUCGAGUUGGGAAAAUCCUCAGAGAGAUUCAUCAGCCAUACCACGAAUUCCGACGCCAGAAUCUUUGAGUGGAAAGGAUUUGGCCUGAGGUUAACAAUCGUGUUAACUACCCAUUGAAACAGGCCCUGGUACACCUGCUGGACCAAGAAGUCCUCAACAUGGAGGACAAUAUGACUAAAUUCUGCAUUUCAACCCUGACAUGUCAGUUAAGCCAAAUUGGACUAGGCAGAGUGGUGCAAUCGUGGAAUGCACACAGGAUCCCAGGACGUGGGAUACCCAAUGAACUCGCAGCAGGUGGCUGUCCAGCUAAAAUCUCUGAAGAGCUGCUGCCCAAUGCCUCUGUUGUGGCAAACAUGUACGAGCAAGAGUUUGGAUCCUCGCUGAGUUGGGUGUCAGUUUUUGGAACUGACCCAUUUUCAUCUGAGGAGGAUAGAUGUCAUGCAGAACAAGACUUUGCAGAAAACUACCCUGACAUCUCUCUUCUUUUUAAUCAUGUGGUAAACAAUGACUAUACACCUUUCCAAGAUGCCUUGUUGUACCUCAUAAAUGUCACCCAAAGAUAUGUCUGAAAAAAAUAACUGAAAUGCUGUGGUGUUGUUAAGUAGCUAGGAAAACAGACUGUGUUGUGCUACAGUGGUGAUUCAAAGUUUGUCAACCAUUUAUGCAAUUAUAGUUUUUAUAUAAAAUCUUAAUUGGCCUCCACACUGUUGGAAUCAACUAUGGAUCGGUCUCAGUGUGCUUUGUUCUUUACUUCAUCAAACUGUAAUCAGUCUGCAUAGAGCCUCUAUUGAUACCCUCUUAAAUUGUUGUUUUUACUGUAUGUUGGAUGAGAGCACCCUGGAUAACCCUGCUCUUAAAAAAAA